RNAcentral lists this long non-coding RNA (632 nucleotides) under Rattus norvegicus (Norway rat). RNAcentral's name for it is "long non-coding RNA NONRATT012181". The stretch from base 8 to 77 matches the Rfam family "mir-24 microRNA precursor family". The record is from RNAcentral. Lineage: Eukaryota; Metazoa; Chordata; Mammalia; Rodentia; Muridae.
GGACCCGCCCUCCGGUGCCUACUGAGCUGAUAUCAGUUCUCAUUUCACACACUGGCUCAGUUCAGCAGGAACAGGAGUCGAGCCCUUGAGCAAAAAGCCUACCCAUCUGACAGAUCACAGUGAGAUUCUCUUUCAUACACCUUCUCCUAGCCCUGGUGGGGCCAGGACUGCAUUGACCCUGGACAUCAAAGGGAAGAUUAUGUGGCUGCUAAGGCCAUCAGCCCACAGCAGCGGUUGGUCCAGCUUGGGCUUCUGGCUCCCAGAGCCCGGGCUCCCGUGGCAUAUAUAAAAGGCGGAGCCUCAUAAACUGUUGCACCUGGCAGCUGCCUUUGUCCCCAGUCCUAGAGACCGAGUCUACACACUGGAAUUGAGCUGUGACUUGAAGGCAGUCCUUCAAAAGAAUGAAGGAUACCCUCCCCUAGGCAGAUGGAGAACCGACUGCCUGCUUCCUGUGAUUGCAAGCACUAGCUGCCAUGCUCUGGGACUGCAGAAUCACAUGACACCUCCUGUGGCUGGCCCCCAAGGACUCUGCAGAGACCCUUUGAUGUGUUCAGUCAAUAGAGCAUUCCUGUUUUUGAAAAUGCAGGGAAGCCUAAGAUGUCUUAAUAAAGUACCGGAUUUGCUGGUGUUCC